Pseudopipra pipra is the source of this 1074-nucleotide long non-coding RNA. RefSeq lists it as uncharacterized. Lineage: Eukaryota; Metazoa; Chordata; Aves; Passeriformes; Pipridae. The record is from RefSeq and is a predicted model, not a curated record. The transcript has 2 exons.
GGCUGUUAGGAGAGGGGGCACCAAGGUGGUCAGGAGCUAUCCCACCCCUCUGUGCAAGGCUUUUCUUUUUUUUUUUUUUAUUUUUAGUCAGGAUUUAGGGAGCUUUUUAUGACAGCAAAAGUUCUCUGCCACCCAAAAAGCAAAGGGACCCACAUGCAAAAGCUUCCCUGACUCCAGGAAAGACUUGGAUUUAAAGGAAAACCAAGUACUUAAAGGUAUUAGAUGCUGUUUUCUGUGCCAGCCCUACCUGCCCUCGCAUUUCCGCAAACUCCACACACGGACACAGCAAAUCCAGCCCUGUCCUCUGGGUAAGGAAUGUGCUCACAUGCCUCUGUCUCUUCCAGACUUGCUCAUACUCACAGGAGCUCAUUUUAAUACUGAUUUACUGCUAAUCCUCUGGAUAAAUACCCAGCUCUGAUUUCCCAUUUGGCUCCCUCUGCCCUGCUAACAUUCCGCAGGCAUGCACCCAGCUGCCAGACUGGGAGUUGCUCCUUGGCACAGCUCUCGCUCUUUUUCCCCCCUGUAUUUUCUGUAGGAAUUGCUUGACCCGUCACGUUCCCAGAGCCUGUCAGCAGAGCUGUGAGAGGAUCCCUGCCAUCUCCAGAGCCUGUCAGCAGAGCUGUGAGAGGAUCCCUGCCAUCUCCAGAGCCUGUCAGCAGAGCUGUGAGAGGAUCCCUGCCAUCUCCAGAGCCUGUCAGCAGAGCUGUGAGAGGAUCCCUGCCGUCUCCGUACAUUUUUCACAUCCAGAGCCGACUCUGUAGGAGCCUCAGUUUCCCUGGGUUCCCCCUGCCCAGAGAUGUUCCUCACCCUUCUCACAGCGCCGGCCUCUCCAGCCACGGGGGCAGUCACAAGCGCCGGUGAUGUGGUGGCACGAGACACUGUCCCCACAGUCACAGAGCUCCUCACAGCGUGCCCCAAACCGCCCCUCUGGACAAGCUUCAGGGAUGAAAAUGGGAGAGAGGACAAGUUACACCCAAAAAAGGUGCCAUGGGAGCUUUUUGCCAGCAGUGUCUGUAGGCACACACCUCACUGUGUGCUCACACAGGCAGCUUGAAAUACAGCCUUGGACAAGGA